This 378-nucleotide ribosomal RNA is filed under the name uncultured bacterium. RNAcentral's name for it is "bacterial SSU rRNA". It matches the Rfam family "Bacterial small subunit ribosomal RNA", at positions 521 to 896 of the family's 1533-position model. The record is from RNAcentral.
UAAUACGGGGGGAGCAAGCGUUGUUCGGAUUUACUGGGCGUAAAGGGCGCGUAGGCGGCGCGACGAGUCACUUGUGAAAUCUCCGGGCUUAACCCGGAGCGGCCAAGUGAUACUGUCGUGCUGGAGUGCGGAAGGGGCUACUGGAAUUCUCGGUGUAGCGGUGAAAUGCGUAGAUAUCGAGAGGAACACCAGCGGCGAAGGCGGGUAGCUGGGCCGACACUGACGCUGAGGCGCGAAAGCCAGGGGAGCGAACGGGAUUAGAUACCCCGGUAGUCCUGGCCUUAAACGAUGGAUGCUUGGUGUCCGGGGUUAGAUAGUCCCCGGGUGCCGGCGCUAACGCAUUAAGCAUCCCGCCUGGGGAGUACGGUCGCAAGACUG